AGAUGUACCUACGUAGAACCAUAUAAACCAUCAAUCUCUUUAUUCAAAAGUUCUAUAUGAUUUGACAACAUAGUGACCGAAUCAAUGUUAAAAACACAGGCUGCUUUCAUCGAAUUUGUCCUCAUGACUUGUCACUCAUAAUUAUUUAGUGACAUCUCUUCUACAAACUCGUAAGCCUCUUCAGGUAUUUUGUUAUUCAAAUUCCCACCGGCGGAUGCAUUGAUCAAUUGCCUAGUUGAGGGGUUCAAACCG
This 252-nucleotide long non-coding RNA is filed under the name Gossypium barbadense (sea-island cotton). RNAcentral's name for it is "long non-coding RNA (GBAR_LNC005020)". Lineage: Eukaryota; Viridiplantae; Streptophyta; Magnoliopsida; Malvales; Malvaceae. The record is from RNAcentral.